This 468-nucleotide ribosomal RNA is filed under the name uncultured bacterium. Its description in RNAcentral is "partial 16S ribosomal RNA". It matches the Rfam family "Bacterial small subunit ribosomal RNA", at positions 28 to 507 of the family's 1533-position model. The record is from RNAcentral.
GACGAACGCUGGCGGCGUGCUUAACACAUGCAAGUCGAACGGAAAGGCCCUGCUUUUGUGGGGGGCUCGAGUGGCGAACGGGUGAGUAACACGUGAGUAACCUGCCCUUGACUUUGGGAUAACUUCAGGAACCUGGGGCUACUACCGGAUAGGAGCUCCUGCUGCAUGGUGGGUGUUGGAAAGUUUCGGCGGUUGGGGAUGGACUCGCGGCUUAUCAGCUUGUUGGUGGGGUAGUGGCUUACCAAGGCUUUGCCGGGUAGCCGGCCUGAGAGGGUGACCGGCGACAUUGGGACUGAGAUACGGCCCAGACUCCUACGGGAGGCAGCAGGGGGGAAUAUUGCACAAUGGGCGGAAGCCUGAUGCAGCAACGCCGCGUGCGGGAUGACGGCCUUCGGGUUGUAAACCGCUUGCGCCUGUGACGAAGCGUGAGUGACGGUAAUGGGUAAAGAAGCACCGGCUAACUACGUG